RNAcentral lists this ribosomal RNA (254 nucleotides) under uncultured bacterium. RNAcentral describes it as "partial 16S ribosomal RNA". It matches the Rfam family "Bacterial small subunit ribosomal RNA", at positions 524 to 776 of the family's 1533-position model. The record is from RNAcentral.
GACGUAGGGCGCGAGCGUUGUCCGGAUUUAUUGGGCGUAAAGAGCUCGUAGGCGGUUGGGUAAGUCGGGUGUGAAAACUCCAGGCUCAACUUGGAGACGCCACCCGAUACUGCUCUGACUUGAGUUCGGUAGGGGAGUGGGGAAUUCCUGGUGUAGCGGUGAAAUGCGCAGAUAUCAGGAGGAACACCGGUGGCGAAGGCGCCACUCUGGGCCGAAACUGACGCUGAGGAGCGAAAGCCAGGGGAGCAAACGGG